Astatotilapia calliptera (eastern happy) is the source of this 1585-nucleotide long non-coding RNA. The record is from Ensembl. Lineage: Eukaryota; Metazoa; Chordata; Actinopteri; Cichliformes; Cichlidae.
AAACAUAAAAAAAAGCAAAAGAAAAUCUCUUUGCAGGUUGUGCAGGUCAUAUUUACAGUAGUCAUUACCUUUUGACUGUAGAUGGCGAACACCAGCAAGCCUAAUCCUUAUAGCACAGAUAAAGUAAUGCACUCAGUUUCAUUAUUAGGCUAAGUAAUUGCUCCUGUUACUGCUUCACAGGGGGUAGAGUACAAAGUACAAGCAGCCCAUAACAAUUCAGUGAAGGUCAGUGCACAGUGUAGUUAUUUUAUUCCUCACACUCAAACGCACCACUCUCACUCAUUUCAGUCAUAGAGUUUGGUUUGUUAAGCACAGACUGUAUAUAAAAGAUGGACGUAGCCGCUGAUUCUGAAAAGCGAAGCCAAGGUUCUGGUUGCUUAGAUGACCCAUCAGUGUAUUUAUCACCUCUUCACACGUCAGUCAUUGGUAUCCUUCGUUUCAGUCGCUUCAAUCACUCGUCUUGAAGUGUAGUUUGUUUUUGGACACGCCCACUUGUCUGUUGUUACUGCAAGUCUCUGAACAUGGUGCUUAUUGGUUAACAAGUUGCGAUCUUGCUUUUCUUUCAUUUCACAGUCGGGUCUACCCCCUCACUAUGAUGUCUCGUUACAGAAAGCUAAGAUGGCGACAGUGAAAAUAUCUGCUCAGGGGCUUUAUAACAUGACCUCACUAACCAACGGGUGACCUGACAGGAGUUAUGUCCAUCAUUUAUUUACAGUCUGUGGCAUAAAGUUGAAAGUUAACUCUUAGCUUCUCCAGCUCCAGUUAAGAACUUUUAUCAGAGUUCAUAAAGCUCUUUAGUGUUUUUUGUUUAUUUUUAUGUGUGGUUGUACUUCCUGUAUUUCUUGCCUUGUAAGUGGAGCAGGUUUAAAAAGCACCUGAGAUUUACAUGUCCUACUGAGUUAUAUGAUGGUGCUUUAUUAGGUGCCUCUGUGUCUCCCCCAUUAUACGAAAUGUGUCCUUCAGUGUUGGCGCUCUGAGGCUUAACCACAGCUCCAGUUGUCAUCGUCAUAAGGAGCUUGGAGGAGUGUUGGUGACUUUCCAGGAUUAACAGGUUUUCACUUUUGACUUUCACUUGCCUCAAUCUAUGCGUUUAUAAACUGCUUGGUUAUGGUUUCGGAAAAUUUUCGUGCUUUUUACCCAGAGCAUCACAACACAGAUGCCAGCAGGUUUGACAAUGCAGUCUUAACUGACGCCUCGGGAUCAGAGCGAGCGUCUCAUUAAUUCUCAUUUUGGAACAGAACUCUUUUUGCUUGUGACAGUUUGCAAAAUAUGAUUACUGUGCAGUAUCGAGAGGAAAAGUGUCGAGCGAUCUCACAGGUGUUUAGUUGGGUUAGAGUCCAGCUAGUACUCAACAUGUGGGCAUUUUUGUGUUUAUGCGCUGUGUGGCAUUCAGAAUCGCUGCUAACGAUCACAACAGGGUGGACAUGGGCGCCUGUGUUACGACAGACCUAUCAGUGUCACUCUGGCCCGUAGACCACUGAGCCUGAGUGCUGGAGGGAGAGGGAGAGAGAAACAAACAAGUCUGUCUCUGUUCUGUGUGCGUACGAUAUGGACUCAUUUACUGUAAUAAAGUGAUGAAACUGUG